AGGGCACCACCAGGAGUGGAGCCUGCGGCUUAAUUUGACUCAACACGGGAAAUCUCACCAGGCCCGGACACCGGAAGGAUUGACAGAUUGAGAGCUCUUUCUUGAUUCGGUGGGUGGUGGUGCAUGGCCGUUCUUAGUUGGUGGGGCGAUUUGUCUGGUUAAUUCCGAUAACGAACGAGACUCUGGCCUACUAACUAGACGUUGGAUCCCUUUGUGGGUCCAUCGCAGCUUCUUAGAGGGACGGGCGGCGUUUAGCCGCACGAGAUUGAGCAAUAACAGGUCUGUGAUGCCCUUAGAUGUUCUGGGCUGCACGCGCGCUACACUGAAGGAAUCAGCGUGUGUUCCCUAUCCGAAAGGAUUGGGAAACCCGUUGAACCUCCUUCGUGAUGGGGAUUGGGGAUUGCAAUUAUUCCCCAUGAACGAGGAAUUCCCAGUAGGCGCGAGUCAUAAGCUUGCGUCGAUUACGUCCCUGCCCUUUGUACACACCGCCCGCCGCUACUACCGAUCGAGUGAUUUAGU
Molecule: ribosomal RNA, 519 nt
Filed under: uncultured eukaryote
Lineage: Eukaryota
Description: SSU rRNA
Rfam family: Eukaryotic small subunit ribosomal RNA
Source: RNAcentral